UACGUAGGGGGCAAGCGUUGUCCGGAAUCAUUGGGCGUAAAGAGCGUGUAGGCGGUUCGGUAAGUCCGCUGUGAAAGUCCAGGGCUCAACCCUGGAAUGCCGGUGGAAACUGUCGGACUAGAGUCCGGAAGAGGCGAGUGGAAUUCCUGGUGUAGCGGUGAAAUGCGCAGAUAUCAGGAGGAACACCAAUGGCGAAGGCAGCUCGCUGGGACGGUACUGACGCUGAGACGCGAAAGCGGGGGAGC
This 245-nucleotide ribosomal RNA is filed under the name uncultured bacterium. RNAcentral's name for it is "partial 16S ribosomal RNA". It matches the Rfam family "Bacterial small subunit ribosomal RNA", at positions 524 to 769 of the family's 1533-position model. The record is from RNAcentral.